AACCCUCAUCAGCAGACAUUAGGUAGGAUAUCAACCCUCAUCAGCAGACAUUAGGUAGGAUAUCAACCCUCAUCAGCAGACAUUAGGUAGGAUAUCAACCCUCAUCAGCAGACAUUAGGUACGAUAUCAACCCUCAUCAGCAGACAUUAGGAAGGAUAUCAACCCUCAUC
Long non-coding RNA from Dreissena polymorpha, 170 nucleotides. RefSeq lists it as uncharacterized. Lineage: Eukaryota; Metazoa; Mollusca; Bivalvia; Myida; Dreissenidae. The record is from RefSeq and is a predicted model, not a curated record. The transcript is spliced from 3 exons.